AACGAACGCUGGCGGCAUGCCUAACACAUGCAAGUCGAACGAGACCUUCGGGUCUAGUGGCGCACGGGUGCGUAACGCGUGGGAACCUGCCCUUAGGUUCGGAAUAACUCCCCGAAAGGGGUGCUAAUACCGGAUAAUGUCUUCGGACCAAAGAUUUAACGCCUUAGGAUGGGCCCGCGUUGGAUUAGCUAGUUGGUAGGGUAAAAGCCUACCAAGGCGACGAUCCAUAGCUGGUCUGAGGAAGAUCAGCCACACGGGGACUGGGACACGGCCCGGACUCCGACAGAAGGCAGGAAGUGGGAAUAAUAUGAAAAGGGCGAUAGCGUUAACCAGCAGUGCGCCGAUGAUCAUGAAGGCCUUAGGGAUGUAAAUCGCGAGUACCCGCGAUGAUAUUGACAGUGCUAGAAGAAUAAGCACCGGCUAACGCCGUG
This 431-nucleotide ribosomal RNA is filed under the name uncultured bacterium. RNAcentral's name for it is "partial 16S ribosomal RNA". It matches the Rfam family "Bacterial small subunit ribosomal RNA", at positions 29 to 507 of the family's 1533-position model. The record is from RNAcentral.